AGAGUUUGAUCCUGGCUCAGGAUGAACGCUAGCGGCAGGCUUAACACAUGCAAGUCGAGGGGUAUAGGUUUUCGGACCUAGAGACCGGCGCACGGGUGCGUAACGCGUAUGCAAUCUACCUUUUACAGAGGGAUAGCCCAGAGAAAUUUGGAUUAAUACCUCAUGGUAUUAUUGAAUGGCAUCAUUUAAUAAUUAAAGUCACAACGGUAAAAGAUGAGCAUGCGUCCCAUUAGCUAGAUGGUAAGGUAACGGCUUACCAUGGCAACGAUGGGUAGGGGUCCUGAGAGGGAGAUCCCCCACACUGGUACUGAGACACGGACCAGACUCCUACGGGAGGCAGCAGUGAGGAAUAUUGGUCAAUGGGCGCAAGCCUGAACCAGCCAUGCCGCGUGCAGGAUGACGGUCCUAUGGAUUGUAAACUGCUUUUGUACAGGAAGAAACAGUUCUACGUGUAGAACCUUGACGGUACUGUAAGAAUAAGGAUCGGCUAACUCCGUGCCAGCAGCCGCGGUAAUACGGAGGAUCCAAGCGUUAUCCGGAAUCAUUGGGUUUAAAGGGUCCGUAGGCGGUUUUGUAAGUCAGUGGUGAAAGCCCAUCGCUCAACGGUGGAACGGCCAUUGAUACUGCAAGACUUGAAUUAUUAGGAAGUAACUAGAAUAUGUAGUGUAGCGGUGAAAUGCUUAGAUAUUACAUGGAAUACCAAUUGCGAAGGCAGGUUACUACUAAUAUAUUGACGCUGAUGGACGAAAGCGUGGGGAGCGAACAGGAUUAGAUACCCUGGUAGUCCACGCCGUAAACGAUGGAUACUAGCUGUUCGGAGCAAUCUGAGUGGCUAAGCGAAAGUGAUAAGUAUCCCACCUGGGGAGUACGUUCGCAAGAAUGAAACUCAAAGGAAUUGACGGGGGCCCGCACAAGCGGUGGAGCAUGUGGUUUAAUUCGAUGAUACGCGAGGAACCUUACCAAGGCUUAAAUGUAGAUUGACCGGUUUGGAAACAGAUCUUUCGCAAGACAAUUUACAAGGUGCUGCAUGGUUGUCGUCAGCUCGUGCCGUGAGGUGUCAGGUUAAGUCCUAUAACGAGCGCAACCCCUGUCGUUAGUUGCCAGCGAGUCAUGUCGGGAACUCUAACGAGACUGCCAGUGUAAACUGUGAGGAAGGUGGGGAUGACGUCAAAUCAUCACGGCCCUUACGCCUUGGGCUACACACGUGCUACAAUGGCCGGUACAGAGAGCAGCCACUGGGCGACCAGGAGCGAAUCUAUAAAACCGGUCACAGUUCGGAUCGGAGUCUGCAACUCGACUCCGUGAAGCUGGAGUCGCUAGUAAUCGGAUAUCAGCCAUGAUCCGGUGAAUACGUUCCCGGGCCUUGUACACACCGCCCGUCAAGCCAUGGAAGCUGGGGGUGCCUGAAGUCGGUGACCGCAAGGAGCUGCCUAGGGUAAAACUGGUAACUAGGGCUAAGUCGUAACAAGGUA
RNAcentral lists this ribosomal RNA (1472 nucleotides) under metagenome. Its description in RNAcentral is "bacterial SSU rRNA". It matches the Rfam family "Bacterial small subunit ribosomal RNA". The record is from RNAcentral.